CCCUUAGAUGUUCUGGGCCGCACGCGCGCUACACUGUUGCAUUCAACGAGUCUAAAACCUGCUCUGAUAGGGGUGGGUAAUCUUUUGAAUGUGCAUCGUGAUUGGGAUAGAUGAUUGCAAUUUUUCAUCUUCAACGAGGAAUGCCUAGUAAACGCAAGUCAUCAGCUUGCAUUGAUUACGUCCCUGCCCUUUGUACACACCGCCCGUCGCUCCUACCGAUUGAAUGAUCCGAUGAAUAUCAUGGAUUGAGGAUGCAAGCAGGUUCGCCUGUCUUCAUCUUCGAGAAGUGAAGUAAAUCUUAUCAUUUAGAGGAAGGAGAAGUCGUAACA
RNAcentral lists this ribosomal RNA (329 nucleotides) under uncultured eukaryote. RNAcentral describes it as "partial 18S ribosomal RNA". It matches the Rfam family "Eukaryotic small subunit ribosomal RNA", at positions 1470 to 1796 of the family's 1831-position model. The record is from RNAcentral.